This 22-nucleotide microRNA is filed under the name Populus trichocarpa (black cottonwood). RNAcentral describes it as "ptc-miR3627a". Lineage: Eukaryota; Viridiplantae; Streptophyta; Magnoliopsida; Malpighiales; Salicaceae. The record is from miRBase by way of RNAcentral.
UCUGUCGCUGGAAAGAUGGUAC